CAGUCGCCACGUAAUACAGAGGGUGCAAGCGUUAAUCGGAAUUACUGGGCGUAAAGCGCGCGUAGGUGUUUUGUUAAGUUGGAUGUGAAAGCCCCGGGCUCAACCUGGGAACUGCAUCCAAAACUGGCAAGCUAGAGUACGGUAGAGGGUGGUGGAAUUUCCUGUGUAGCGGUGAAAUGCGUAGAUAUAGGAAGGAACACCAGUGGCGAAGGCGACCACCUGGACUGAUACUGACACUGAGGUGCGAAAGCGUGGGGAGCAAACAGGAUUAGAUACCCGCGUAGUCCCUGUCUCUUAUACA
RNAcentral lists this ribosomal RNA (301 nucleotides) under uncultured bacterium. RNAcentral describes it as "partial 16S ribosomal RNA". It matches the Rfam family "Bacterial small subunit ribosomal RNA", at positions 509 to 808 of the family's 1533-position model. The record is from RNAcentral.